RNAcentral lists this ribosomal RNA (433 nucleotides) under uncultured bacterium. RNAcentral's name for it is "partial 16S ribosomal RNA". It matches the Rfam family "Bacterial small subunit ribosomal RNA", at positions 29 to 507 of the family's 1533-position model. The record is from RNAcentral.
AACGAACGCUGGCGGCAUGCCUAACACAUGCAAGUCGAACGAGACCUUCGGGUCUAGGGGCGCACGGGUGCGUAACGCGUGGGAACCUGCCCUUGGGUUCGGAAUAACUCCCCGAAAGGGGUGCUAAUACCGGAUAAGGUCUUCGGACCAAAGAUCUAUCGCCAUUGGAUGGGCCCUCGUUGGAUUAGCUAGUUGGUAGGGUAAAAGCCUACCAAGGCGACGAUGCAUAGCUGGUCUGAGAGGAUGAUCAGCCACACUGGGACUGAGACACGGCCCAGACUCCUAGGGGAGGCAGCAGUGGGGAAUACUGGACGCUGGGGGAUAGCCUGAUCCAGCAAUGCCGGGUGAGUGAUGAAGGCCUUAGGGUUGUAAAGCUCUUUUACCCGGGAUGAUAAUGACAGUACCGGGAGAAUAAGCACCGGCUAACUCCGUG